CUCCCUUCACCAUAUACGUAAUUUCCGGUUUGUAAUUGAAAAACGAGAAAUUUUGAAACAAUUACGUUUUUUGUCUACAUUUACUGCUGUUUGAGGAUGCUUCUGUUGAGUUAUGACAGGACAGUAUCCAUGCUCCCUGUCCGACACCCUCCCAUGUUGCAGUUAACAUUUCCCUGCCAGUCUUCUUCCCCCAUCAUGCCCAACUGACUGGUCCAAUAUUGUUCAAAACUAUAUGGAAAUGCCUCGUCAUCGUAGUUUGGAGUAUGUGCAGAGCACUCAGGAUAACAAGCAGUUUAUUUGCUUGAUGAGACUGAUUUGCCGGGGAAGGGAGCAGACACUGCUGUGAGCAUGAUGAUCACUACUUCAAGUACCAUGGUUUGGAGAAGAAAAGCCGAAAUUGGCACUUUGGUCUUUGGAAAAGCAGCAAACAGGCCUGGCUUUUUUCAGUGCAGGUGUGUUGCAUCGGAUAUGGUGUAGUUUACCUUGAUGAAAACCAGAGUAGUUGUGUUACCUGAACUCCUUUCCGAAAUCUGCAUCAAGGGGAUGGAUCUUGAAUGGCAGUGGUAUUAACAUGAAAAGA
Molecule: long non-coding RNA, 580 nt
Organism: Mya arenaria
Lineage: Eukaryota; Metazoa; Mollusca; Bivalvia; Myida; Myidae
Exons: 4
Source: RefSeq, a predicted model, not a curated record